UUUGCGCCUUGCUCUUUGUCGUGCCUGUUUCAGUUUCAGUAGUUAAAUGCUCUUUGCAUUUUGCGGUCGUCUUUUUCGGAAAUACGCGACGUAGUUGGCAAGCAACAAAUACAAUAAAAAAAAAAAGAAAGAAAAGAAUAAUAAUUCAACGGCUCGGCAACGCAAAGCAACAGCAAAAAUUAUAAAAUAUUUUACGCCUGCUGUUGUUGGUGUCAGUUUGAGUUGAGUCUUCUAUGAAGUAAAGAAACGGUGAACGAAAGAACAACAACAAAUAGAAAAGUGAGAGCAGACGUAUUUUUUUUUAUUGUUAAGCGAAAAAGUGUUGGUGUGUGUCGAGAGUAAGAUAGAGAGGGCGUGAGAUACACACAUCCAAAAAAAAAAAAAAAAGGAGGAACA
Molecule: non-coding RNA, 396 nt
Organism: Drosophila virilis
Lineage: Eukaryota; Metazoa; Arthropoda; Insecta; Diptera; Drosophilidae
Source: RefSeq, a predicted model, not a curated record